This 251-nucleotide long non-coding RNA is filed under the name Lathyrus oleraceus (garden pea). Its description in RNAcentral is "Pisum sativum (pea) long non-coding RNA (PSAT_LNC002647)". Lineage: Eukaryota; Viridiplantae; Streptophyta; Magnoliopsida; Fabales; Fabaceae. The record is from RNAcentral.
AAAGACGCACACUGAGGCACGCUGUUUGUUUUCACCCUUUUAGCCUUUCUAGCCAUCCAUAAUGUUGUAUUUAUCCGUUGUUAACCAUGUUGAGCAUGUACCCCCUUGUUUGUGUAAACCGUCAUGUUAACCAUAAGCCAAACACGUCCUACCCUCGCUCGGCAUGACUAUUGUAGUGUAAAAUUUGUGCAAAAAGAUAAGUUUAGGGUGGUAAUCCUUAGAAGAAAUGUUGGAAAAUGGGCAAGUGCAAG